Molecule: unclassified non-coding RNA, 212 nt
Filed under: plant metagenome
Description: partial contains small subunit ribosomal RNA, internal transcribed spacer 1, and 5.8S ribosomal RNA
Source: RNAcentral
UCUCCGUAGGUGAACCUGCGGAAGGAUCAUUAAAAAUGAAGCCGGGAAACCGGUCCUUCUAACCCUUGAUUAUCUUAAUUUGUUGCUUUGGUGGGCCGCGCAAGCACCGGCUUCGGCUGGAUCGUGCCCGCCAGAGGACACAACUCUGUAUCAAAUGUCGUCUGAGUACUAUAAAAUAGUUAAAACUUUCAACAACGGAUCUCUUGGUUCUG